CAUGCGCAAUUAAUUUGAUAAGCACCAAUUCGACCACUCAUGUCACGCAUAUAAAACCAUGUUGCCCUUCUAUGCUCUUGCAGUAGUGGUGGAAAUCUUUUGGCAAAAUGGCAAAAAUUAUCCUCGCUGUGUCUCUCUUUGUCGCUGGUUGCUGGGCCCACGGUCGAAUUGAAGACCCUCCACACCGCGGUUAUUUAUGGCGACUGCCCGAGUAUCAAUGGGCCAAUCCAGGACACAUCCCUGACGAUACGGAACUCCAUUGUGGUGGCGAAGGGAUCUCAUACCCCAACAUAAAUGCGUGCGGCUUUUGAGGCGACCCAAUCACCCAACAGCGGCCCAGACUGCACGAAAUUGGUGGACAACACGAGCGCGGCCUCAUCGUGCGAAACUACACGGUUGGAGAGCUAAUCAAUGUUAAAAUCCACUGGCAGGCUAACCAUGGGGGGUGGCAUACGUUUAGAAUGUGUGACUACAGUCGUACCGGGUACGAGAGCGAGACUUGUUUCCGUGACAACCAGCUCCGCUUCGGAGACGGUUCCGAACGAGUUUACGAUAUUGACUAUCAAGGCGUCACCAACAUUCCGGUCCAACUCCCACAGGGUCUCAGUUGUGAUCGCUGCGUCUUGCAGUGGGAAUGGACUGCUAAUAAUGGACAGUUCUACAGAAAUUGUAUGGACAUUUCUAUCCAUUAAGGUGGCAAAUGAAGUGUUUAAUCUGAAUCAUAUUAAAAUAAGUCUGUAAUUAUUUGCUGAAAUAAAACCAUUUCUGACAUCUUGCUUA
Folsomia candida is the source of this 780-nucleotide long non-coding RNA. RefSeq lists it as uncharacterized. The transcript has 2 exons. The record is from RefSeq and is a predicted model, not a curated record. Lineage: Eukaryota; Metazoa; Arthropoda; Collembola; Entomobryomorpha; Isotomidae.